This 492-nucleotide ribosomal RNA is filed under the name uncultured bacterium. RNAcentral describes it as "partial 16S ribosomal RNA". It matches the Rfam family "Bacterial small subunit ribosomal RNA", at positions 29 to 507 of the family's 1533-position model. The record is from RNAcentral.
AGUGAACGCUGGCGGUAGGCCUAACACAUGCAAGUCGAACGGCAGCACAGUAAGAGCUUGCUCUUACGGGUGGCGAGUGGCGGACGGGUGAGGAAUACAUCGGAAUCUACUUUUUCGUGGGGGAUAACGUAGGGAAACUUACGCUAAUACCGCAUACGACCUACGGGUGAAAGCAGGGGAUCUUCGGACCUUGCGCGAUUGAAUGAGCCGAUGUCGGAUUAGCUAGUUGGCGGGGUAAAGGCCCACCAAGGCGGCGAUCCGUAGCUGGUCUGAGAGGAUGAUCAGCCACACGGGAACUGAGACACGGUCCAGACUCCUAAGGGAGGCAGCAGUGGGGAAUAUUGGACAAUGGGCGCAAGCCUGAUCCAGCCAUACCGCGUGGGUGAAGAAGGCCUUCGGGUUGUAAAGCCCUUUUGUUGGGAAAGAAAAGCAGCAGGUUAAUACCCCGCUGUUCUGACGGUACCCAAAGAAUAAGCACCGGCUAACUUCGUG